UAGUAGGAAAUUAAGGGUAUACGGUGGAUGCCUAGACUCUAGAAGGCGAUGAAGGACGUGGCGUGGCUGCGAUAAGCUUCGGGGAGAUGCCUAGCAAUCUUUGAUCCGGAGAUUUCCGAAUGGGGAAACCCGGCCAGUAAUGGUCACCUUAACUCUAGUUAAGGAGUACACCCAGGGAAGUGAAACAUCUCAGUACCUGGAGGAAAAGAAAACAAGCUGUACUUGUACAGCACAUUUCCGGAGUAGCGGCGAGCGAAAUGGAAACAGCCCAAACCUGACAUCACCUUUACUGUCUGGAUAGUCAGAUGGUAAAGGUGGCGCCGGGGGUAGUAAGGCAAUGACGUUGCUUUUAAAGCAAGAGGAGUUACAAAUUGUUUUGUUAGCGGAAGCUUCUGGGAAGAAGCACCCAAGAGGGUAAUAGUCCUGUACGUGAAAAUAAAACAACUCUUUUGUUGUUGUCCUUGAGUAGCUCAAGACACGAAAAGCUUGAGUGAAUCUGCCAGAACUAACUGGUAAGGCUAAAUACUUUUAGAGAUCGAUAGUGAACUAGUACCGUGAGGGAAAGGUGAAAAGCAGUCCGGUGAGGACAGUGAAAUAGACCUGAAACCGUAUAUCUACAAGGAGUCGAAGAGGAUCUAAUCCUCGACGGCGUGCCUAUUGAAGAAUGAGCCAACGAGUUUAUGUAUAUUGCAGGCUAAGCACUCUCGUGCGGAGCCAUAGGGAAACCGAGUGUUAAUAGCGCGAAAUAAUUGUAGUGUGCAUAAGACCCGAAACCAAGUGAGCUUGCCAUGGGCAGGGUGAACAUCUGAGAAAUCAGGUGGGAGGCCCGAACCGGUUGGUCGUGCAAUUCCAUCGGAUGACCUGUGGUACGCAGUGAAAAGCUAAUCGAACUUGGUAAUAGCUGGUUCUCUCCGAAAUAGCUUUAGGGUUAGCGUCUUGUGUUCCCUUUGGGGGUAGAGCACUGGAAGGUGAGAAUAGGGGGAAACCUCGUCUCUCCUAUCAAACUCCGAAUACCAAAGAUUAAUAACAAGGCAGUUAGACUACGGGGGCGAAGCUCCGUCGGUCGAAAGGGAAACAGCCCAGAUCUCAAGUUAAGGUCCCUAAAUUCAUACUAAGUGCACUUAAGGAGGUGGGAUUCCUCUGACAAUGAGGAGGUUGGCUUAGAAGCAGCCACCCUUUAAAGAAAGCGUAACAGCUCACUCAUUCAGGGAUCCUGCGCCGCAGAUAAUCGGGGCUAAGUAUGAUACCGAAACUGAGGGCUUGUGAGUUUCAUUGAGGAAAAAAUAGAGACGAGAGGUGUUAGUAACUCCAGAUCAGCUUGCUGGGGAGAAUCGCAUCUCUUUAGGUGUGGAUUAAGGUGUGAGCUCCGACACGUGAGCAUUGCGCCUCCGCGCCGCCAGGAGGGUUAAGUUCCUAGGAGGCUGUGAGAGGACCGAAGCUGCGGGCCAAUCACAAACUCCGAAGUUCAAGUCGGCUUUGUCGGCGCCCUCCUCACCGUUCUUUUGGAGCAAGUGCUCCUAAAUUUGUUUGUUUGACUCCUGGUAGCUCAGCCUGGUAGAGCAGUGACCUCCAAAGCCAUUUGUCGCAAGUUCAAAUCUUGCCCGGGAGGCCAAACAAAAUUUUCCGAAAUUGUUGUCCUCAACAAUUUCGGAUCCUCAAUGAAAUUCAUAAGCGGUAGGAGAGCGUUCUGUUCUGCAAUGAAGCUGAAGGGAUAACCCACAGUGGAGCGUACAGAAGUGAGAAUGUUGGCACGAGUAACCGCAAUCAGGGUGAGAUUCCCUGACGCCGAAAAUCCAAGGUUUCCUUGGCGAUGAUAAUCAGCCAAGGGUUAGUCGGUCCUAAGGUGAUCCCGAAAGGGGGAAUCGAUGGACACAUGGUUAAUAUUCCAUGACUUUAUUAUUGUGUGAUGGGGUGACGGAGUGUUGUACUUUAAGCGCAUUAUCGGAUUUGCGUCCGUGCUUUGAGGGUGCCUCUUAGGUAAAUCCGGGGGGCCUUGCCCGAGAUGAGCGGAAAUCUAGCGGCUUCGGCCAAAGGAAAUUUAAAGGAGCACGCUUCCAAGAAAAACCUCUAAGCUUAGCAAUAGUAAAACCGUACCAAAACCGACACAGGUGGAUAGGUCGAGUAGACCAAGGCGAACGAGUGAAAGGUCCUCAAGGAACUCGGCAAAACAGCGGCCGUACCUUCGGAAUAAGGCCUGCCCCCACCACUUUGUACAUUUCAGAGUGGUGGAGAGUAAACUUGAGAAAAGAUAAAGAAAAAGAGAUAAAGAGCUCUCUAUCAUUUUGGCGAAGUGUCCAAAGUGGUGGGGGCCGCAGCGAAAGAUCCCUGGCGACUGUUUAUCAAAAACACAGCUCCCUGCGAACUCGUAAGAGGAUGUAUAGGGGGUGACGCCUGACCAAUGCCAGAAGGUUAAGCACGGACGGUGUGAUGUUCUUCGGAAUGUCAUGCUUGGCUGUGUAAGCCCUGGUGAAUGUCGGCCGUAACUAUAAAUCGUUGUAGUUACGUUAAUAAAUCUUGCUAUAUGCGGGAAACUCUGACCGGAGUGUCAUACCUUAGUGAACUCUCCAAGGUAUCCGGUGCUACUCACCACAAAGUCGUAAGUGGAAGUAACAAUGUAUCGGUGCAGACAAUCCGCAGGAAAGAUUAUUGUGUGGUAAUUACGGAAAUAUGCGUGAUUACAAAUCAAUUAACCAGAACCAUGGUUACUACAUAGCUGGUUUCGUUGACGGAGAGGGUAGUUUCAAUGUCUCUCUCACAAAACGAAAAGAUUAUGUAGGAAAAUGGAAGAUAACUGCGUCGUUUAAUGUGUCACAAAAAGAUCGCACCAUACUUGCUUUUGUUAAAAAAGUGAUUGGGUGCGGGACACUUAGAGAGCGCAAAGAUGGUGUAGUGUACUAUGAAGUCACAAACAUCAGAUCCCUAUACGAAAACAUACUCCCGUUUUUCAGGAAGUUCUGUUUUCUGUCAGAAAAUAAGAAACGCAACUUUGCUAUCUUUUCAAAGAUAGUAAGAAAGAUGUAUAAAAAAGAACAUCUUAACAAAGAAGGAUUUGAAGAAAUUCUUCAACUGCGCGAGAAGCUCAAUCAAGGGGUUGGGCGUACGCGCAAAUACACAUUAAAGAGUGUAAAACACACACAAUAAAAUCCUCACAGACUAUACGCAGGACACGCGCUAGAACAACACUGUCGACUUUCUAGCAUUCGUGAAGAUAUAGUCGGGCCCUUAUGGCGACAUAAGGUUGGCAAAACGCUUAAUUGUUUGCCAUAUAAAACAUAAGCAAACGGUCCUAAGGUACACUUCACGACAUUUGUCGUUGGGUGUAGGACUAGGACCGUUAUAUAGAUAAACAGAGACGCAAGUUACCUUCCAUAUAGAAAUAUAUGUGUAGUCCAAAUCACGAUUAACAAGAGACCAACGUCGUGGCCCUCCCUCCUUGAUAUAAAGGAGAAGGGAUAAGAUAGAGUCCAUGGAGUGUUAGUAGGAAUACAUGAGCGAAAUUCCUUGUCUGGUAAUUUCAGACGUGCACGAAUGGCGUAACGACUGGGGAACUGUCUCGAGGACUUGCUCGGUGAAAAUGCGAUGCCGGUGAAGAUGCCGGCUACCUACAGUGGGACGAAAAGACCCCGGGAGCUUUACUACAACUUGAUAUUGGGUAUGUGAGUGAGCUGCGUAGCAUAGGAGGGAGACUUUGAAGCACUUUUUUCGGAAGGUGUGGAGUCGUCAGUGAAAUACCUCUCUGUUUAUUUGCAUGCUCUAACUUGUACGGAAAAAACGGACAGGAACAGUAUCUGGUGGGUAGUUUGAGUGGGGCGCUCUCCUCCUAAAGAGUAACGGAGGAGUCUAUUAAGGUUCUCUAGGCGCGAAUGGAAACCGUGCCGAUAGUGUAAUGGCAAAAGAGAGCUUGACUGCGAGACGGACAUGUCGAGCAGGUGCGAAAGCAGAGCAUAGUGAACCGAUGGUUCAUAUUAGAUGUGGCCAAAGAUUAACGGAUAGAAGUUACCCCGGGGAUAACAGGCUGGUACCGCCUAAGCGUCCAUAGCGACGGCGGUGUUCGGCACCUCGAUGUCGGCUCACCUUAUCCUGGUGGCGUAGAAGCUGCCAAGGGUUUGGCUGUUCGCCAAUUAAAAAGGUACGCGAGCUGGGUUCAGACCGUCGUGAGACAGGUUGGUCUUAAUCUACUGUAGGCGUUGAUUCUUGAGGAGAUCUGCUCCUAGUACGAGAGGACCGGAGUGGACUGACCUCUGGUGUACGAGCUGUCGUGCCAACGGCACAGCUCGGUAGCUAAGUCGGGAAUGGAUAACUGCUGAAUGCAUAUAAGCGGGAAGCCAACUCCAAGAUCAGGAAUCGUUUGAGAUCCCUAGGAGAUUACUAGGUGAUAGGCACUAGGUGUACGCACAGUAAUGUGUUUAGCCGAGGUGUACUAAUUAAUCGAUCCUAUUAGG
This 4442-nucleotide small RNA is filed under the name Minisyncoccota bacterium. Its description in RNAcentral is "23S ribosomal RNA". It matches the Rfam family "Bacterial large subunit ribosomal RNA". The record is from RNAcentral. Lineage: Bacteria; Bacillati; Minisyncoccota.